Molecule: ribosomal RNA, 835 nt
Filed under: uncultured archaeon
Lineage: Archaea
Description: bacterial SSU rRNA
Rfam family: Archaeal small subunit ribosomal RNA
Source: RNAcentral
GGAGGUCACUGCUAUUGGGAUUCGACUAAGCCAUGCGAGUCGAGAGGGUUCGGCCCUCGGCUGACGGCUCAGUAACACGUGGAUAAUCUGCCCUUGGGUGGAGGAUAAUCUCGGGAAACUGAGGAUAAUACUCCAUAGAUCUAGGAUGCUGGAAUGCAUCUAGAUUGAAAGCUCCGGCGCCUAAGGAUGAGUCUGCGGACUAUCAGGUUGUAGUCAGGGUAAAGACCUGACUAGCCUACGACGGAUACGGGUUGUGAGAGCAAUAACCCGGAGACGAUAUCUGAGACACGAUAUCGGGCCCUACGGGGCGCAGCAGGCGCGAAAGCUUCACACUGUGCGAAAGCGCGAUGAGGGAAUCCCAAGUGUUUGCUCGUAAGAGUAAACUGUUUCUUUGUUUAAAACGCAGAGAGAGUAAGAGCUGGGUAAGACGGGUGCCAGCCGCCGCGGUAAUACCUGCAGCUCAAGUGGUGGCCGCUAUUAUUGGGCCUAAAACGUCCGUAGCCGGUUUAGUAAAUGCUUGGGUAAAUUGUGUAGCUCAACUAUACGAAUACCGAGUAGACUGCUGAACUUGGGACCGGGAGAGGCUAGAGGUACUCCUAGGGUAGAGGUGAAAUUCUGUAAUCCUAGGGGGACCACCAGUGGCGAAGGCGUCUAGCUAGAACGGAUCUGACGGUGAGGGACGAAGCCCUGGGGCGCAAACCGGAUUAGAUACCCGGGUAGUCCANGGUGUAAACGCUGCUCGCUUGAUGUUAGUUGGGCUCCGAGCCCAACUAGUGUCGGAGAGAAGUUGUUAAGCGAGCUGCCUGGGAAGUACGGUCGCAAGGCUGAAACUUAA